UUAGUCUGCUGAUGAAACCUUGUGCUUCCU
RNAcentral lists this non-coding RNA (30 nucleotides) under Homo sapiens (human). Lineage: Eukaryota; Metazoa; Chordata; Mammalia; Primates; Hominidae. The record is from RNAcentral.